RNAcentral lists this ribosomal RNA (275 nucleotides) under uncultured bacterium. RNAcentral describes it as "partial 16S ribosomal RNA". It matches the Rfam family "Bacterial small subunit ribosomal RNA", at positions 81 to 354 of the family's 1533-position model. The record is from RNAcentral.
CUUUUAGAUGGCGACCGGCGCACGGGUGAGUAACACGUAUGCAACCUGCCCCUGUCAGGGGGACAACCCGCCGAAAGGCGGGCUAAACCCGCGUACAUGCCACCGGGGCAUCCCGGAGGCAGGAAAAGGCUUCGGCCGGACAGGGAUGGGCAUGCGGCGCAUUAGGCAGUAGGCGGGGUAACGGCCCACCUAACCGACGAUGCGUAGGGGUUCUGAGAGGAAGGUCCCCCACACUGGUACUGAGACACGGACCAGACUCCUACGGAAGGCAGCAG